Molecule: long non-coding RNA, 1531 nt
Filed under: Salmo salar (Atlantic salmon)
Lineage: Eukaryota; Metazoa; Chordata; Actinopteri; Salmoniformes; Salmonidae
Description: lncRNA (ENSSSAG00000085142.1)
Source: RNAcentral
CAUAAGGCUACUCUCCAUGAUGCCAUAAGGCUACUCUCCAUGAUGCCAUAAGGCUACUCUCCAUGAUGCCAUAAGGCUACACUGCAUAAUGCCAUAAGGCUACUCUCCAUGAUGCCAUAAGGCUACACUGCAUAAUGCCAUAAGGCUACUCUCCAUGAUGCCAUAAGGCUACACUGCAUAAUGCCAUAAGGCUACUCUCCAUGAUGCCAUAAGGCUACACUGCAUAAUGCCAUAAGGCUACUCUCCAUGAUGCCAUAAGGCUACACUCCAUGAUGCCAUAAGGCUACUCUCCAUAAUGCCAUAAGGCUACUCUCCAUGAUGCCAUAAGGCUACACUCCAUGAUGCCAUAAGGCUACUCUCCAUAAUGCCAUAAGGCUACUCUCCAUGAUGCCAUAAGGCUACUCUCCAUAAUGCCAUAAGGCUACACUCCAUUGUGACAUAAGUCUACACUUCAUAGUGACAUAAGGCUACAUAAGGCUACACUCCAUAAUGCCAUAAGGCUACACUCCAUAAGGCUACACUCCAUAAUGCCAUAAGGCUACACUCCAUAAUGCCAUAAGGCUACACUCCAUAAUGCCAUAAGGCUACACUCCAUAAUGCCAUAAGGCUACACUUCAUUAUGACACAAGGCUACACUCCAUUAUGACAUAAGUCUACACUCCAUAGUGACAUAAGUCUACACUCCAUUAUGGGAUAGAUCAUAUGGAGAAGAGUCAUGCAACCAAAAUGACAGUUUUUUUUUUUACCCUGGUAGAAAGGGCCUCUAUUGACCACGCCUCCGAAAAAAAGAACAUUUUGUUCAACAGUCAGAACUUCAGAGGUCGUCUUCGUUUGCUUUGGAAACCACGUGUUCAGAUUAAGUAACAUUGGAACAAUGCUUCGAAGUCAGUUUCCCAACUUUUCACACGUUUUGUGAAAUCGUGUAAUGUACACAUUGGUUUACUGCUACAGCCGUCUGCGCCAUACUGGUGUCCCAUUCUAGUCUAAUUGUAUUACAUUGUUGGCUUUAGGUUUAGUUUAAAUUAAAUGUCAGUUUUGAAUGUUUACAACACAAAAUAUUAUGCCAGAGUAACAGGAUUUUCGCGUGUAGGCCUUUAUUAAUCAAACAUUGUUUUUAGUCUAAAUGUAUAUAAUUUAAAUUCGUAUUGCAGACACACUUUGCGCAAACUUAGAAAUGAUUAGAUAGGCUUAUCUUGCAUGUAGUAGGGCCCACACCUUAAUGUAUUCCUCAAAUAAAAUAAUAACAACAAUUUAGACUUUUCUUGUAUGAAAUUGCAUUUGUUAAAAAAAAUGAAGUUUGUAUUUUCGAAAUAUUGUUGUUUUGAUGGUAUAUUUUAUUUUUGUAUCACUCUUAUGUAUUUAUUUGGUAGUGGUAGAAAUAAUUCUAUUUAUUUAUUUAAACAAUAGUUGUCUUCAUAUUUGAACACUUUGCAGCUAAAAUAAGUCUGAAAUCUAAAAUGAAAAAAAGGCAGUAAUACAAAACUUUAUUAAAAAGAAAGUAAUUGUCAUUCUCACUAAACAACAAACCUUG